This 397-nucleotide ribosomal RNA is filed under the name Imbricatea sp. RNAcentral's name for it is "partial small subunit ribosomal RNA". It matches the Rfam family "Eukaryotic small subunit ribosomal RNA", at positions 582 to 975 of the family's 1831-position model. Lineage: Eukaryota; Cercozoa; Imbricatea. The record is from RNAcentral.
AUUCCAGCUCCAGUAGCGUAUAUUAAAGUUGUUGCAGUUAAAAAGCUCGUAGUUGGAUUUCUGGCAAGAGAUACCUAACCCGCCACGGUUACGUGUGUGAGUGUUGGCGUGUCUCCGCCAUCCUUCUGGAAAACGUUCCUACCAUUAAUUUGGCCGGGUUCGCAAUCUGGAUCUUUUACUUUGAAAAAAUUAGAGUGUUUAAAGCAGGCUUUCGCUAUUAAUAUAUUAGCAUGGAAUAAUAAUUUAGGACUUUGUUUCUAUUUUGUUGGUUUCUAGGGAUGAAGUAAUGAUUGAUAGGGAUAGUUGGGGGUGCUAGUAUUCAGCGGCCAGAGGUGAAAUUCUUGGAUUCGCUGAAGACUAACUUAUGCGAAAGCAUUCACCAAGGAUGUCUUCAUUA